GUCAGAUUGAACGCUGGCGGCGUGCUUAACACAUGCAAGUCGAACGCGAAAGGGACUUCGGUCCUGAGUAAAGUGGCGCACGGGUGAGUAACGCGUGGAUAAUCUGCCCUUAUGAUCGGGAUAACAGUUGGAAACGGCUGCUAAUACCGGAUACGCUCAAAAUGAACUUUUUGAGGAAAGAUGGCCUCUGCUUGCAUGCUAUCACGUAAGGAUGAGUCCGCGUCCCAUUAGCUUGUUGGCGGGGUAACGGCCCACCAAGGCAACGAUGGGUAGCCGAUUUGAGAGGAUGAUCGGCCACACUGGAACUGAAACACGGUCCAGACUCCUACGGGAGGCAGCAGUGGGGAAUAUUGCGCAAUGGGCGAAAGCCUGACGCAGCGACGCCGCGUGAGGGAUGAAGGUUUUCGGAUCGUAAACCUCUGUCAGAAGGGAAGAAACUACGUUGUGCUAAUCAGCAGCGUACUGACGGUACCUUCAAAGGAAGCACCGGCUAACUCCGUGCCAGCCGCCGC
Molecule: ribosomal RNA, 512 nt
Filed under: uncultured bacterium
Lineage: Bacteria
Description: bacterial SSU rRNA
Rfam family: Bacterial small subunit ribosomal RNA
Source: RNAcentral